Molecule: ribosomal RNA, 1361 nt
Filed under: metagenome
Description: bacterial LSU rRNA
Rfam family: Bacterial large subunit ribosomal RNA
Source: RNAcentral
UAGGUGAAGUCAAUGAUCCCAUGCUGCCAAGAAAAGCCUCUAGCGAGCUUCGAGCGGCCCGUACCCCAAACCGACACAGGUGGUCAGGUAGAGAAUACCGAGGCGAUCGGGCGAACUGUGGUUAAGGAACUCGGCAAAUUACCCCCGUAACUUCGGGAGAAGGGGGGCCACAGACUGUCAUACCCCACGCGGGUGGCAGCAGUAGGUGGCCGCAGAGACCAGGGGGAAGCGACUGUUUACUAAAAACACAGGUCCGUGCGAAGUCGUAAGACGAUGUAUACGGACUGACGCCUGCCCGGUGCUGGAACGUUAAGGGGACCGGUUAGUCCGCAAGGGCGAAGCUGAGAACUUAAGCGCCAGUAAACGGCGGUGGUAACUAUAACCAUCCUAAGGUAGCGAAAUUCCUUGUCGGGUAAGUUCCGACCUGCACGAAUGGCGUAACGACUUCCCUACUGUCUCAACCACAGGCCCGGCGAAAUUGCACUACGAGUAAAGAUGCUCGUUACGCGCGGAAGGACGGAAAGACCCCGGGACCUUCACUAUAGCUUGACAUUGGUAUCCGAAUUUAAUUGUGUAGGAUAGGUGGGAGGCUUUGAUCCGCGGACGCCAGUCCGUCGGGGAGCCAACGUUGAAAUACCACUCUGUUGACUUUGGGUAUCUAACUUCGGACCGUGAUCCGGUUCAGGGACAGUGUCUGGUGGGUAGUUUAACUGGGGCGGUUGCCUCCUAAAAUGUAACGGAGGCGCCCAAAGGUUCCCUCAGCCUGGUUGGCAAUCAGGUGUUGAGUGCAAGUGCACAAGGGAGCUUGACUGUGAGACUGACAGGUCGAGCAGGGACGAAAGUCGGGACUAGUGGUCCGGCACCUGCGAGUGGAAGCGGUGUCGCUCAACGGAUAAAAGGUACCCCGGGGAUAACAGGCUGAUCUUCCCCAAGAGUCCAUAUCGACGGGAUGGUUUGGCACCUCGAUGUCGGCUCGUCGCAUCCUGGGGCUGGAGUAGGUCCCAAGGGUUGGGCUGUUCGCCCAUUAAAGCGGCACGCGAGCUGGGUUUAGAACGUCGUGAGACAGUUCGGUCCCUAUCCUCCGCGCGCGUAGGAGACUUGAGAAGAGCUGUCCCUAGUACGAGAGGACCGGGACGGACGAACCUCUGGUGUGCCAGUUGUCAUGCCAAUGGCACGGCUGGUUAGCUACGUUCGGAAGGGAUAACCGCUGAAAGCAUCUAAGCGGGAAGCUCGCUUCAAGAUGAGGUCUCCCACCCCUUAGAGGGUUAAGGCCCCCAGCUAGACCACUGGGUUGAUAGGCCAGAAGUGUAAGCCUGGUAACAGGUUCAGCCGACUGGUACUAAUAGGCCGAGGACUUCACC